GUGAACGCUGGCGGUAGGCCUAACCCAUGCCAGUCGAACGGCAGUACAGUAAGAGCUUGCUCUUACGGGUGGCGCGUGGCGGACGGGUGAGGAAUACAUCGGAAUCUACUUUUUCGUGGGGGAUAACGUAGGGAAACUUACGCUAAUACCGCAUACGACCUACGGGUGGAAGCAGGGGAUCUUCGGACCUUGCGCGAUUGAAUGAGCCGAUGUCGGAUUAGCUAGUUGGCGGGGUAAAGGCCCACCACGGCGACGAUCCGUAGCUGGUCUGAGAGGAUGGUCAGCCACACUGGAGCUGAGACACGGUCCAGACUACUGCGAGAGGCAGCAGUGGGGAAUAUUGGACAAUGGGCGCAAGCCUGAUCCAACCAGAGCGCGUGGGUGGAGGAGGCGUUCGGGUUGUAAAGACCCUUUGUUGGGAAAGAAAAGCAGCAGGUUAAUACCCCGCUGUUCUGACGGUACCCAAAGAAUAAGCACCGGCUAACUUCGUG
Molecule: ribosomal RNA, 491 nt
Filed under: uncultured bacterium
Lineage: Bacteria
Description: partial 16S ribosomal RNA
Rfam family: Bacterial small subunit ribosomal RNA
Source: RNAcentral